CACGACCUGAGCCAAGAUCAAAAGUCAGACACUCAACCGACUGAGUCACCCAGUUACUCCUUUCUAAUGGCUGGAAUGUGGACAUGAUGGCUGGAGCACAAGCACCUACUUUAGACCAUGAGGAAACUUUGGGAAUGAAAACUACACACUGCAGAUCAACCAGAUAGAGCCUGGGUUCCUUGUUCGGUGCCCCAAGCCACCCUGAAAUCGCCGAGUGUGUCGCCUGGCUCCGCUCCUCUUCUGGGCCCCCUCCGCCAACCCCCAAGUGACCUGAUGGUGGUCCGAAGUCCCCUCUGAGUAACCCUGCCCCCAGCACUUCCCACCUGAGCUUUCACACUGGAUGGCCUCACAGCACUUGUAGGAGGGAGGUGCACCGUACUAGAGCAAGAUUCAGGAUGCCUCAAGCUGACACUUGACUCCGGUGGCUUCCACGGUCAUUCUCGGAGGGCGGCAGUCACAUCCGCUUCAUCUCUGGGAUCCCUUGAACACCAACCAGCAGAGGGUCUGGUACAAAAUAGGAGCUGAUGAAUAUCCAAUCAGCAGAGUUUAUUGAGGAUCUGCUACACACCAGGAAUAUUCUUUCAUGGCCCGAGAAGAGCUGUCUAUUUUUGGCAGGUGACGGCUUCCAGGGAAGGUCAGCUGAACAGAGCCUCUGGUCACAGUCUGCCUUCGGCUCUCCUGAGAGGGGACUGGAGCCUCUUCUGGAGAAGUCGGUGAGGUUAUGAAUGGGUCCUGAAAACCUGGGGCUCCCAGCAAGUCGAUGGCGAGUUUGGGUGCUGACUUUCCUGAACGGGUCUUCCAUUUGAGCAGGAGGAGAUAGACGUUGGAGGGGGGACAGCGGGCAGAGAGAAAGGGCAGCCCGCCCUCCACUGUUUGGCAAACGUGUGUUUACCAUGAGCGGACGCAGGAGCCUUGCCAAGGCCGAGGCCUCCACAGGUUAGAUUCAGCUAAAGCAAGGACCCGUCCAGUGGGCAAGGACUCGCGUGUCCAUUCUGUUAAUGGAAUCAGAGUUGGGACGAAGGAAGCAGGAAGCAUUUGGCUUCACAUUCUAGAGAAAGAAGACCCUACUGGGCUGCAGACUCCCCUCCAGGGGCUGUUGGAAAGCGGCUGGACCUCUUCUGCUUCUCCCCAGCCACUCUGCCACUGUGCCAGUUACCAGUUACUAGCAGGGACUGUGCAGUCACUGAAACCAGCACCCUAGGGAGGCCCAACUCUGGACACCAGCCACACAGAAAGGAGACGCCGACACCCCAAGGAGGUGAUUACGCCAGGGGGGCAGCGAAACACAGAGCCUCUCGUCUCUCCUCUCCCUCUCUUCCCACACGGCCUUCCCCCGCCGUGAGCGUUUGAUUAGCUGUGAGGUGUUUACCUUGUCACUAGAUGGAGCUGGGAACUGGGUCUUUUUGUAUCUGAAAGUCACCAGAAAGCCACAGGACUUGCCAAGAUGGUCGGAAGGGAUGGGAAGAGGAGGCUGAAGGUCGGAUUUAGGGGAAAAUGGCUACACCCCCUUCACUGAGCUGAGCACCUCGGGAGCCAGUGACCAGAGCAGCUUCCCCGAGGGCACCCAUUCUGUGUCCGGCGAGCCCAGCUGUGCAGGGGCCCUCGGUGAGGGGCGACACAGAAUCCAAGGGAUGAGUAGCUCCUGGAGUGAGGCUCAGCCCUUGUCCUUGCUGGAUACCAAGUGGCAACUGCUGUUGUCAUCAGGGAGCUCUCCUAGGUUGGCAACGCCAUCCAGGAAGUGCUAUCCCGGGGGGCCGCCCUCCCUCCUGCCCUCCUGUUGUCCCUCUCCAGCGUCAGGCCCCGGGCCAGAGGGAGCCGACAGCAAAGGUCCUUGGAACCCAGAGGAGCAAAUCCCCUGGACUCAGUGAGGAGUUGGGAGGUCCGGGCCAGGGUGGAGACACAAGGCGGUUCUGAGCCCAGACCUGGCUGAGGGCACAAGUUCAGGAGGCAGCAGGGUGGUUUCCCAUGCUGCUUUUGUAAGGCCUUGUAACUUAAGCCCCCCGUCUGCAGAGUGAAUAAAGGCGGACCUUUUUUCAGAGGUGUGUA
This is a long non-coding RNA of Herpailurus yagouaroundi (jaguarundi), 2046 nucleotides long. RefSeq lists it as uncharacterized. NCBI's taxonomy places the organism in Eukaryota, Metazoa, Chordata, Mammalia, Carnivora, Felidae. The record is from RefSeq and is a predicted model, not a curated record. The transcript is spliced from 8 exons.